Molecule: ribosomal RNA, 253 nt
Filed under: uncultured bacterium
Lineage: Bacteria
Description: partial 16S ribosomal RNA
Rfam family: Bacterial small subunit ribosomal RNA
Source: RNAcentral
UACAGAGGGUGCGAGCGUUAAUCGGAAUUACUGGGCGUAAAGCGUGCGUAGACGGUUAUUUAAGUCGGGUGUGAAAGCCCCGGGCUCAACCCGGGAAUUGCAUUCGAGACUGAAUAGCUAGGGUACGGUAGAGGGAAGUGGAAUUUCCGGUGUAGCGGUGAAAUGCGUAGAUAUCUGGAGGAACACCGAUGGCGAAGGCAGCCGCCUGGGCCACAACUGACGCUGAGGUACGAAAGCGUGGGGAGCAAACAGG